This 320-nucleotide ribosomal RNA is filed under the name Staphylococcus aureus. Its description in RNAcentral is "partial 23S ribosomal RNA". It matches the Rfam family "Bacterial large subunit ribosomal RNA", at positions 1147 to 1470 of the family's 2925-position model. The record is from RNAcentral. Lineage: Bacteria; Bacillati; Bacillota; Bacilli; Caryophanales; Staphylococcaceae.
AGUCGAGUGACACUGCGCCGAAAAUGUACCGGGGCUAAACAUAUUACCGAAGCUGUGGAUUGUCCUUUGGACAAUGGUAGGAGAGCGUUCUAAGGGCGUUGAAGCAUGAUCGUAAGGACAUGUGGAGCGCUUAGAAGUGAGAAUGCCGGUGUGAGUAGCGAAAGACGGGUGAGAAUCCCGUCCACCGAUUGACUAAGGUUUCCAGAGGAAGGCUCGUCCGCUCUGGGUUAGUCGGGUCCUAAGCUGAGGCCGACAGGCGUAGGCGAUGGAUAACAGGUUGAUAUUCCUGUACCACCUAUAAUCGUUUUAAUCGAUGGGGG